GAACAGGCUCAGGACGAACGCUGGCGGCGUGCCUAAUACAUGCAAGUCGAGCGGACAGAUGGGAGCUUGCUCCCUGAUGUUAGCGGCGGACGGGUGAGUAACACGUGGGUAACCUGCCUGUAAGACUGGGAUAACUCCGGGAAACCGGGGCUAAUACCGGAUGGUUGUUUGAACCGCAUGGUUCAAACAUAAAAGGUGGCUUCGGCUACCACUUACAGAUGGACCCGCGGCGCAUUAGCUAGUUGGUGAGGUAACGGCUCACCAAGGCGACGAUGCGUAGCCGACCUGAGAGGGUGAUCGGCCACACUGGGACUGAGACACGGCCCAGACUCCUACGGGAGGCAGCAGUAGGGAAUCUUCCGCAAUGGACGAAAGUCUGACGGAGCAACGCCGCGUGAGUGAUGAAGGUUUUCGGAUCGUAAAGCUCUGUUGUUAGGGAAGAACAAGUACCGUUCGAAUAGGGCGGUACCUUGACGGUACCUAACCAGAAAGCCACGGCUAACUACGUGCCAGCAGCCGCGGUAAUACGUAGGUGGCAAGCGUUGUCCGGAAUUAUUGGGCGUAAAGGGCUCGCAGGCGGUUUCUUAAGUCUGAUGUGAAAGCCCCCGGCUCAACCGGGGAGGGUCAUUGGAAACUGGGGAACUUGAGUGCAGAAGAGGAGAGUGGAAUUCCACGUGUAGCGGUGAAAUGCGUAGAGAUGUGGAGGAACACCAGUGGCGAAGGCGACUCUCUGGUCUGUAACUGACGCUGAGGAGCGAAAGCGUGGGGAGCGAACAGGAUUAGAUACCCUGGUAGUCCACGCCGUAAACGAUGAGUGCUAAGUGUUAGGGGGUUUCCGCCCCUUAGUGCUGCAGCUAACGCAUUAAGCACUCCGCCUGGGGAGUACGGUCGCAAGACUGAAACUCAAAGGAAUUGACGGGGGCCCGCACAAGCGGUGGAGCAUGUGGUUUAAUUCGAAGCAACGCGAAGAACCUUACCAGGUCUUGACAUCCUCUGACAAUCCUAGAGAUAGGACGUCCCCUUCGGGGGCAGAGUGACAGGUGGUGCAUGGUUGUCGUCAGCUCGUGUCGUGAGAUGUUGGGUUAAGUCCCGCAACGAGCGCAACCCUUGAUCUUAGUUGCCAGCAUUCAGUUGGGCACUCUAAGGUGACUGCCGGUGACAAACCGGAGGAAGGUGGGGAUGACGUCAAAUCAUCAUGCCCCUUAUGACCUGGGCUACACACGUGCUACAAUGGACAGAACAAAGGGCAGCGAAACCGCGAGGUUAAGCCAAUCCCACAAAUCUGUUCUCAGUUCGGAUCGCAGUCUGCAACUCGACUGCGUGAAGCUGGAAUCGCUAGUAAUCGCGGAUCAGCAUGCCGCGGGUGAAUACGUUCCCGGGCCUUGUACACACCGCCCGUCACACCACGAAGAGUUUGUAACACCCGAAGUCGGUGAGGUAACCUUUUAGGAGCCAGCCGCCGAAGGUGGGACAGAUGAUUGGGGUG
Molecule: ribosomal RNA, 1486 nt
Filed under: Bacillus subtilis
Lineage: Bacteria; Bacillati; Bacillota; Bacilli; Caryophanales; Bacillaceae
Description: bacterial SSU rRNA
Rfam family: Bacterial small subunit ribosomal RNA
Source: RNAcentral